UUACACAGCCAUAUCACCCUGCAACUCACAACUGGCAACCCACUGAAGCUAAGCAGGUGUGAGCCUGGUAAGUACCUGGAUGGGAGACCUCCUGGGAAAAACUAAGGUUGCUGCUGGAAG
This 120-nucleotide ribosomal RNA is filed under the name Lepisosteus oculatus (spotted gar). Lineage: Eukaryota; Metazoa; Chordata; Actinopteri; Semionotiformes; Lepisosteidae. The record is from RNAcentral.